RNAcentral lists this ribosomal RNA (487 nucleotides) under uncultured bacterium. RNAcentral describes it as "partial 16S ribosomal RNA". It matches the Rfam family "Bacterial small subunit ribosomal RNA", at positions 28 to 523 of the family's 1533-position model. The record is from RNAcentral.
GACGAACGCUGGCGGCAGGCCUAACACAUGCAAGUCGAACGAAGCCUUCGGGCUUAGUGGCGGACGGGUGAGGAAUACGUAGGAAUCUGCCCUUAAGUGGGGGAUAACCAGGGGAAACCCUGACUAAUACCGCAUGAUCUCUUCGGAGCAAAGAGGGGGACCGCAAGGCCUCUCGCUUCUGGAUGAGCCUACGUCUGAUUAGCUAGUUGGUAGGGUAAAGGCCUACCAAGGCGACGAUCAGUAACUGGUCUGAGAGGAUGAUCAGUCACACCGGAACUGAGACACGGUCCGGACUCCUACGGGAGGCAGCAGUGGGGAAUAUUGGACAAUGGGCGCAAGCCUGAUCCAGCAAUGCCGCGUGUGUGAAGAAGGCCUUCGGGUUGUAAAGCACUUUAGCCUGGAAAGAAAAAACUUUGGUUAACACCCAAAGUCUUGACGGUACCAGGAGAAUAAGCACCGGCUAACUCUGUGCCAGCCGCCGCAGUAA